UGAGAUUUCUUAAUCUUGCUGGUCCCCAACU
RNAcentral lists this non-coding RNA (31 nucleotides) under Rattus norvegicus (Norway rat). Lineage: Eukaryota; Metazoa; Chordata; Mammalia; Rodentia; Muridae. The record is from RNAcentral.